Molecule: ribosomal RNA, 460 nt
Filed under: uncultured bacterium
Lineage: Bacteria
Description: partial 16S ribosomal RNA
Rfam family: Bacterial small subunit ribosomal RNA
Source: RNAcentral
CCUACGGGAGGCAGCAGUGAGGAAUAUUGGUCAAUGGACGAGAGUCUGAACCAGCCAAGUAGCGUGAAGGAUGACUGCCCUAUGGGUUGUAAACUUCUUUUAUAUGGGAAUAAAACGUUCCACGUGUGGGAUUUUGUAUGUACCAUAUGUAUAAGGAUCGGCUAACUCCGUGCCAGCAGCCGCGGUAAUACGGAGGAUUCGAGCGUUAUCCGGAUUUAUUGGGUUUAAAGGGAGCGUAGGUGGAUUGUUAAGUCAGUUGUGAAAGUUUGCGGAUCAACCGUAAAAUUGCAGUUGAAACUGGAAGUCUUGAGUGCAGUAGAGGUGGGCGGAAUUCGUGGUGUAGCGGUGAAAUGCUUAGAUAUCACGAAGAACUCCGAUUGCGAAGGCAGUUCACUGGACUGUAACUGACACUGAGGCUCGAAAGUGUGGGUAUCAAACAGGAUUAGAUACCCUUGUAGUC